GUUUGUUUGUUUGUUUGUUUUAAAUGGGAUUUUGGUUAAGAGCCUGAAAUAAGGUCUCUGGUGAACACAAGCUCAGAAUAUUUUCACGUUUUAUCCUACGACAUAAAAUACACCAGUAAUACCCCACUAAUGAUUUAAAAAAAUAAUAAUAAUAAUAAAAAAAAAUUAUGAUUUGAAAAAGGUUGUUGCUAACAAGUUGCUAAAUGGGACUACAGCCAUUGUCGGGGACAUUAAACGUCUUCACGCCGAACAGGACUAAACUUCACAGAUAAACUGGUUCAGGGUCAUGGUGGAUCCUGAGUCUAUCCCAGGAACACUGGACGUGAGACAGGAAUGCACCUUGGAUGGGAUGCCAGUUCAUCGCAGAGCACCACACACAUACAUUCACACCACCGGGAUGGAAGUGAAUCAGUUUGCCCUUUAUCUGAACAGGAAUGGGUUUGAUGCUGCACUUGCCUGGAGGUGCUCGCCUAAAAGAUAUAAAGACGUGGCAUCAUGCUUAGCUUCACCAAAAUAAUCACGGAAUAGUAAACUGCUUGCAGAUGAGUGAUCCAGCAUGUUCAUAUCCGUGUCUGACAAAAGGAACUCGCUGAUCCUUAUCCUCUCCUGCUUGCUCACAGAUACAGAGUAAUAGACAUAUGCCUUCUUGACCAUGCUGAACCUAGGGUGCAGGGCAAUACAGAGAAAUCCACGUUCAUCCCCAGCCCACGGGGAGGUCAACACUGCUUUGGUGAGAUUUAGGAAGGGCCUGUCAAUCCUUGAACCAUUUGGGAGGUAAGUCCAUACAUAUCCCAGCUGCUCAGCUAUGAAGAAUCUGUGUGUGCCGUCAUUUGCAUGCACCAUUGCCACUGGAUUACGCAGGCCAUUUGCUACUUCCUGUAGGCAAAGCUGAAUGCAGCCCUUGGGAUCAGCUUGAACGUUGCCCAGAUUAGCAUUUAACUCGUCGCUGGUGAGAACGUUGGGAUAGCAAUACUCUGGAUCCUUCAGCUCCAAAUGGUCACAGAAUUUUUCCCGAUCCUCCUCAAUGAUGGCAGUGAUGUUGUUGUCUGUCAGCAGACUAAGUGUGUAACGGCAGUGAUGCCAGAAAUCAGAGCAGUAGUCACGGCAAAGGCCGGGGAGCUCACGCAUGGGAGUAUUCGCAUCCUCAGCAUCAUACAGAAGCGCAGCGGCUCCUGAGGUUGGAAAGGAGGCUUGUAGUCCAGGCAUUGCGGGUGGGCAUCUGUAUGCAAGAAGCUCAGGAGGAGCCAAAGCAGAAAGUGGAGAAGCCCAGCUCUCCAGA
Molecule: long non-coding RNA, 1279 nt
Organism: Ictalurus punctatus (channel catfish)
Lineage: Eukaryota; Metazoa; Chordata; Actinopteri; Siluriformes; Ictaluridae
Exons: 5
Source: RefSeq, a predicted model, not a curated record